Non-coding RNA from Vicugna pacos (alpaca), 317 nucleotides. NCBI's taxonomy places the organism in Eukaryota, Metazoa, Chordata, Mammalia, Artiodactyla, Camelidae. The record is from RefSeq and is a predicted model, not a curated record.
AUCACCUGGGUGCCUGUGAAAAAGAUCCCUGAGCAAUGCCCCAGGUCUGCAUUUCUAUAAGAACAGGAAGGGAAAUCUGCCAGACCUCUGACCGCAGCAGCACCACGGCAGGAAGCACGGCUAGCAUCACACAUGAAGCUCUUCCCAUUACCUGCCUGCUCCCCACGUGGCUUUAAACACCAAGCACUGCACAUCUACACAUGAGGAACCGAUCAGGACCUGAAUAUCUGUAUUUUGUUACCACCUCAAACUAGCAUGUUCUCAGAGACAGGAAGAUCAUAAUGAGAUAAGAACUGACAAGGCAGUUUACAAACAUA